AACGCUGGCGGAAUGCUUACACAUGCAAGUCGAACGGUAGAGGGGGCAACCCCUUGAGAGUGGCGAACGGGUGAGUAAUAUAUCGGAACGUGCCCAGUCGUGGGGGAUAACGUAGCGAAAGUUACGCUAAUACCGCAUACGAUCUAUGGAUGAAAGCGGGGGAUCGCAAGACCUCGCGCGAUUGGAGCGGCCGAUAUCAGAUUAGGUAGUUGGUGAGGUAAAGGCUCACCAAGCCGACGAUCUGUAGCUGGUCUGAGAGGACGACCAGCCACACUGGGACUGAGACACGGCCCAGACUCCUACGGGAGGCAGCAGUGGGAAUUUUGGACAAUGGGCGCAAGCCUGAUCCAGCAAUGCCGCGUGAGUGAAGAAGGCCUUCGGGUUGUAAAGCUCUUUUGUCAGGGAAGAAACGGUGAGGGCUAAUAUCCUUUGCUAAUGACGGUACCUGAAGAAUAAGCACCGGCUAACUACGUG
This 474-nucleotide ribosomal RNA is filed under the name uncultured bacterium. RNAcentral describes it as "bacterial SSU rRNA". It matches the Rfam family "Bacterial small subunit ribosomal RNA", at positions 32 to 507 of the family's 1533-position model. The record is from RNAcentral.